This 2809-nucleotide small RNA is filed under the name Pan troglodytes (chimpanzee). Its description in RNAcentral is "processed transcript". The record is from RNAcentral. Lineage: Eukaryota; Metazoa; Chordata; Mammalia; Primates; Hominidae.
CUGGAGUAUAGUUGAUCUCAGCUCACUGCAACGUCUGCCUCCUGGGCUGAAGCGAUCCUCCCAGCUCAAUCUUUCAAGUAGCUGGGACUACAGCCUUUUAAAGAUCGCUGUGAAUGGUUCUAUGAACAUUUGCAUUCAGGACAGCCAGAUUCAGACAUGGUGCACAGGCCAGUGAAUGAAAAUGAUAUCCUGCUGGUUCACAGAGGAGUAGCUGUGAAGUUGUGUCAAAAGCAAAUUGUGCAAAGCUAAAGCAAGGGAUUGCUGUACGGUUCCAUGGAGAAGAAGGCAUGGGUCAAGGUGUUGUGCGUGAGUGGUUUGAUAUUCUGUCCAAUGAGAUAGUCAAUCCUGAUUAUGCAUUGUUUACCCAGUCAGCUGAUGGAACAACUUUUCAGCCUAAUAGCAACUCUUAUGUAAAUCCUGAUCACUUGAACUAUUUUCGGUUUGCUGGGCAGAUCUUGGGAUUAGCGUUGAACCACAGGCAGCUGGUCAAUAUUUACUUCACACGAUCCUUCUACAAGCACAUUCUUGGUAUUCCUGUAAAUUACCAAGAUGUGGCAUCCAUUGAUCCAGAAUAUGGGAAAAAUUUGCAAUGGAUUUUAGAUAAUGAUAUAAGUGAUCUGGGUCUAGAACUAACUUUUUCUGUUGAGACUGAUGUGUUUGGAGCAAUGGAAGAGGUGCCUUUGAAACCUGGGGGUGGGAGUAUUCUUGUGACACAAAAUAAUAAAGCGGAGUACGUCCAGCUUGUUACUGAACUUCGAAUGACAAGAGCCAUUCAGCCUCAGAUCAAUGCUUUUUUACAGGGCUUUCAUAUGUUCAUUCCACCCUCCCUCAUACAGCUUUUUGAUGAAUAUGAAUUGGAGCUACUGCUUUCUGGCAUGCCAGAAAUUGAUGUGAGUGAUUGGAUAAAAAAUACAGAAUACACAAGUGGCUAUGAAAGAGAAGAUCCAGUUAUUCAGUGGUUCUGGGAAGUUGUAGAAGACAUUACUCAAGAGGAGAGAGUUCUUCUCUUACAGUUUGUUACGGGCAGUUCCAGGGUCCCACAUGGUGGGUUUGCUAAUAUCAUGGGUGGAAGUGGAUUGCAAAACUUUACAAUCGCUGCUGUGCCAUAUACUCCAAAUCUUUUACCAACUUCAAGCACAUGCAUCAACAUGCUCAAGUUACCUGAAUACCCAAGUAAAGAAAUACUCAAGGACAGACUUCUUGUGGCACUACAUUGUGGCAGCUAUGGUUACACAAUGGCAUAAUGAAGUCUGGAAAACUCCUCUGACUACUGAUGCACAAUUCAGAAUGGCAGAAGUAAUUUGGGAAAAUGUCAACAAAAAAGCAGCCUAAAUGCAACCCAUAGGCAGGGCUGAUGCUUCCAAUUUAUAAAGGAUCAUCAGGUUUUCUGUUUCUCUCUUUUCCCUUUUAUGUUUUCUCUGUUUGUGAUACAAUUAGAAAAUAUAAAAUCACAGUAGAUUUUAUUUUUUUAAAUGCUAACGGAAAGUAAUAGAGACUGUCCUUUUUCAUAAUUAAUUUUAUCCAAGACUGUAUUAAGGCAAAAUCUGAUUCUACAUUCCACCUCUGCUAUGUAACUGUCUUGUUAAAAGGGUGUUUUCUCUUAAUUUCUGAUAUAUUAUAUGAGGUCAUCCAGCUGGUAUGUUCUUUUGCAUGUAAACUGCCAUUUAUAUUUUAGAAAAUUAUUGUAUAGAAUGGAUUUAGAUUGUCUAUAAAGCCACAAAUACGUAUUUUGCCACAGUGUAUUCUAUAUUGCAAUGAUUUUUUUAGCAUUUUAAUAUUUUAAUAUAUAUUGUAAAAUUUAGACUGAUGAUACUAACAGUUGAUGAAAUGACAUAUAAUUUAUAUAUUAAAGCUUACACUAUAUUGUAUGAAUUACUUGCAUCUUUCAGUGGCCAGUUUUCCAUAUGUAUAUAUUAUGGUCUCAAUGUUUUUCUUAUGCCUCAUUUUAAUUUUUAAUGAAGGUAAAAUUAAAAUGUAUUUUACCACAUUUCUUUUCCUUACUUUUAUCUGUGAGCUCUGACACAUCUGAAAAAGUAAUCUGAUGUGCAAAUUAUAAUUUAAAUAUGUUAAUUUUUUUGCUUCUUAAAUUUGCUUUUCAUCAUUAAAAUGUCAAGUUCAAGUGAUAUGUGCCUAAUAUCACUUGGAUGUUGGUGGGUUUUUGAAUUUUUGGGUGGUUAAUCAGUUUUAUUUUGAAAAGACGUACUUGAAAAGUUACAGCAUAUGUUUGAACAGGAAGUAGGAACAUGCAUACACGAAGAAAUGCUAACGGAAGGAUUUGUAAUGUUUAGGAUCUUCCCUUGGAAACUAAAAAUAGAAUAUUAAUGACAUUACUGUUUGUAGAAUGACAUAUGCAGAUUUUCUUAUAAGCAGUCAUUAUGUUUGCCAGUAAUGUUUGAGAGACAUGUAAGUUGAAAGUUUUGCUAAAUUAUAAAGCUCCUUUAAUUCAUUGGUUUUGGUUCUCUUGUUCUCUUGUCUUUUCUAAAUGUUAACAAAAUAUAUCUUAACAGAUUACAUGAAAUUUAGGAAUUAUUUAAAAGUUACCAUUAGCUCUAAAAUUAAGAUUCAGAUGCUUUAUUUAUAGUAACUGAAGCUAAUAAUGUUUUAUGUUUUGAUUUUUUGAAAUUUAAUUGUAGAAGUCACUGCCUUCUGAGUUUUCAAAUAGAUAACCACCUUUAAUAUUACACUGCUUAUAAUACUAAUGUUUACAGAUAUGUUUCUGUUUAUAACCAUACAAUACAUUGGCUUUGUCAUAUUAGUUUUUUUUGCAAGUAGUUGUGUAAAAGAGAUAGAUAAUAAAAUAUUAAAUAAC